GCGCCAUUAGCUCAGCUGGUAGAGCAACUGACUCUUAAUCAGUGGGUCGAAGGUUCGAGCCCUUCAUGGCGCA
RNAcentral lists this transfer RNA (73 nucleotides) under Candidatus Zixiibacteriota bacterium. RNAcentral describes it as "tRNA-Lys". It matches the Rfam family "tRNA". From Rfam's summary of the family: Transfer RNA (tRNA) molecules are approximately 80 nucleotides in length. Their secondary structure includes four short double-helical elements and three loops (D, anti-codon, and T loops). The record is from RNAcentral. Lineage: Bacteria; Pseudomonadati; Candidatus Zixiibacteriota.